Molecule: unclassified non-coding RNA, 550 nt
Filed under: Hevea brasiliensis (rubber tree)
Lineage: Eukaryota; Viridiplantae; Streptophyta; Magnoliopsida; Malpighiales; Euphorbiaceae
Source: RNAcentral
GUAUCCCAUAUCUGUAUGCAUAAACAACAAGGCUCAGAACAAAACCACUUAGUUUCCAAUUACUGGGCAUUCCACCCAAGUAUGAAAAUGAGUUGCAGUACAGAUAUGCUUAACAAAAAUUUUAUAAUGUUGCAAUUUUGUGGUAUGCGGAUAACUUGUUAACAUUACUCCAUUGUGAAUAAUGAAGAAAUUAUCUAGUCUUCAACCUUGCACUUCAAUUUUUACAGCUAUCUUUGUUGGUUCAACCUAAAUACAGCAAAACAAUAAUAAUAAUCAGUCUGUUUGCAGUACUUCUGACUUCUCUGUUGUCCUCUUCAUCUUAAAAUGGUAUCUUAAUUUGCUACAUUAUAUAGUCACUUUUAGAACCAUGCAACUAACAGCUUGGACCAACUUCCAAAAUAAUUUCAUUUCAGCAAUUGCAUCAAACUGGACAAUUUGGUCCGUUCUUCAAGGCAUAACCAAGAGUCCAAUAUAGCCAACUGACAAUUGUAUUGUUCUUGAAUUAUUUUAUGCUUCAAGAUAUUUUACUUGAUACCCAACAUAUAAUUCU